RNAcentral lists this ribosomal RNA (510 nucleotides) under uncultured eukaryote. RNAcentral describes it as "bacterial SSU rRNA". It matches the Rfam family "Eukaryotic small subunit ribosomal RNA", at positions 114 to 614 of the family's 1831-position model. The record is from RNAcentral.
AGUUUAUUUGAUGCUAUAGGUCGAAAGACCACUACAUGGAUAUCUGUAGUAACAUAGAGCUAAUACAUGCAAUAUAGUCUGACUUUUUUGGUAAGGACUAGCACUUAUUAGUAUAUUAACCAGUCCCAGCAAUGGGUUUUUUGUGAUUCAUAGUAACUGAACAAAUCACAUGGUCUUGAACCGGUGAUGUUUCAUUCAAUUUCUGCCCUAUCAACUAGAUGGUAGUAUAUAGGACUACCAUGGUUGUAACGGGUAACGGAGGAUAGGGUUUGAUUCCGGAGAAGGAGCAUGAGAAACGGCUACUAUUUCUAAGGAAAGCAGCAGGCGCGCAAAUUAUUCAAUGGAAAACAAUUUUCCGAAAUAGUGACAAAAAAUAUCAAUGCUGAGUACAAUGUAUUUAGUAAUUGGAAUGAGUACAAUUUAAAUCCCUUAACAAGUAACAAUUAGAGGGCAAGUCUGGUGCCAGCAGCCGCGGUAAUUCCAGCUCUAAUAGCGUAUAUUAAUAUUGUU